Molecule: ribosomal RNA, 301 nt
Filed under: uncultured bacterium
Lineage: Bacteria
Description: partial 16S ribosomal RNA
Rfam family: Bacterial small subunit ribosomal RNA
Source: RNAcentral
CAGUAGCCGCGGUAAUACAGAGGGUGCGAGCGUUAAUCGGAUUUACUGGGCGUAAAGCGUGCGUAGGUGGUGGUUUAAGUCCGUUGUGAAAGCCCUGGGCUCAACCUGGGAAUUGCAGUGGAUACUGGGUCACUAGAGUGUGGUAGAGGAUAGUGGAAUUUCCGGUGUAGCAGUGAAAUGCGUAGAGAUCGGAAGGAACAUCUGUGGCGAAGGCGACUAUCUGGGCCAACACUGACACUGAGGCACGAAAGCGUGGGGAGCAAACAGGAUUAGAUACCCGGGUAGUCCCUGUCUCUUAUAC